UACGAAGGGGGCUAGCGUUGCUCGGAAUCACUGGGCGUAAAGGGUGCGUAGGCGGGUCUUUAAGUCAGGGGUGAAAUCCUGGAGCUCAACUCCAGAACUGCCUUUGAUACUGAAGAUCUUGAGUUCGGGAGAGGUGAGUGGAACUGCGAGUGUAGAGGUGAAAUGCGUAGAGAUCCGGAGGAACACCAGUGGCGAAGGCGAUCUGCUAGGCCUGACCUGACACUCAGACGCGACAGCAUGGGGAGCGAACGGG
This 253-nucleotide ribosomal RNA is filed under the name uncultured bacterium. RNAcentral's name for it is "partial 16S ribosomal RNA". It matches the Rfam family "Bacterial small subunit ribosomal RNA", at positions 524 to 776 of the family's 1533-position model. The record is from RNAcentral.